ACGCACGCUGGCGGCGUGCCUAAUACAUGCAAGUAGCACGCUGAAGGAGGAGCUUGCUCUUCUGGAUGAGUUGCGAACGGGUGAGUAACGCGUAGGUAACCUGCCUGGUAGCGGGGGAUAACUAUUGGAAACGAUAGCUAAUACCGCAUAACAGUAGAUGUUGCAUGACAUUUGCUUAAAAGGUGCAAUUGCAUCACUACCAGAUGGACCUGUGUUGUAUUAGCUAGUUGGUGGGGUAACGGCUCACCAAGGCGACGAUACAUAGCCGACCUGAGAGGGUGAUCGGCCACACUGGGACUGAGACACGGCCCAGACUCCUACGGGAGGCAGCAGUAGGGAAUCUUCGGCAAUGGACGGAAGUCUGACCGAGCAACGCCGCGUGAGUGAAGAAGGUUUUCGGAUCGUAAAGCUCUGUUGUAAGAGAAGAACGAGUGUGAGAGUGGAAAGUUCACACUGUGACGGUAUCUUACCAGAAAGGGACGGCUAACUACGUG
This 494-nucleotide ribosomal RNA is filed under the name uncultured bacterium. RNAcentral's name for it is "partial 16S ribosomal RNA". It matches the Rfam family "Bacterial small subunit ribosomal RNA", at positions 29 to 507 of the family's 1533-position model. The record is from RNAcentral.